UACGCAGGUGGCAAGCGUUGUCCGGAUUUACUGGGCGUAAAGGAUGCGUAGGCGGACAUUUAAGUCAGAUGUGAAAUACCCGAGCUUAACUUGGGUGCUGCAUUUGAAACUGGGUGUCUAGAGUGCAGGAGAGGUAAGUGGAAUUCCUAGUGUAGCGGUGAAAUGCGUAGAGAUUAGGAAGAACACCAGUGGCGAAGGCGACUUACUGGACUGUAACUGACGCUGAGGCAUGAAAGCGUGGGGAGCAAACAGG
RNAcentral lists this ribosomal RNA (253 nucleotides) under uncultured bacterium. Its description in RNAcentral is "partial 16S ribosomal RNA". It matches the Rfam family "Bacterial small subunit ribosomal RNA", at positions 524 to 776 of the family's 1533-position model. The record is from RNAcentral.